CCCUAAAUCCCUCCCGAUACUCCGGAUUCUACAGUAACCUAAACGUCAGCAGAAAGUUGUUGGGGUGGGUAGCCGGGUUUGGCGGAAAUCGCCACCAUCGGCCGCCGUAGCGAGGUCGCCAAGAGCCGGUUAUCCGAAAACUGCCGCAUCUUUCGAACUGUUUAGCUCUUCCUAGCAAUUUUAGAAAAUCCAAACUUUAGUAUAUAAGAUAGUAAUUGCAUAAAUUCGUUACAAGUAUGCAUAUAUACUGUGGCAAAAAAACCAACUGUAACACAAUAGACUAUUCUUGAAAUGAUGUCAUGCUAAUAUCAUACACCAGAUCGAAUCUGUACUAGAAUGUGCCCUUAAAGUUUUAUAAUAGCAUGUGUAUUGACGCAAGAUACCAAAAGCUAGUGUGAAACGAGCAAGAAACAAUUAGGGUAAAAUUGAAAUUAAACCAUUUUACGUGUGUGCAGAACACAAACAUGAUAUUGAGCUCUGAGCUGUGUACCAAGUCAUAUGAUAUUAAGGCUGUCUAUAGAUGCUUAAUUAUAUAUGAAAGAAACGUCAUGUGCAGUAUGUGUGUAACAAGUCAUUUAGAUAAAGGAAUAUUUUAAAAGGCAAAAUGAAUAUAAAUCUAGGAGAAGAAUAUCAUAUGUGUGAAGUUUGUAGAAAGUCAUUUAGACAAAAGUGUAGUUUAAAUGUGCAUAUGCGUAUUCACACAGAAGAGAAGCCUUAUGCAUGUGAGGUAUGUAAUAAGCAAUUUACACAAAAGGUUAAUUUGAAGAGGCAUAUGCUUACCCACACCGGAGAGAAAUCUAAUGUAUGUGGGGUAUGUAAUAAGGCAUUUUUACAAAAACAUCAUCUAAACGAACAUUUACGUAUUCACACAGGAGAAAAACCUUACAUGUGUGAGAUAUGUAACAAGUCAUUUACAAGAAUAGUUAGUUUAAAUAAUCAUAUGCUUAUUCAUACAGGAGAGAAACCUCAUGUAUGUGAGAUAUGUAAUACACCAUUUAGACUGAACAGUUCUUUAAAAAAACAUAUGCGCGUCCACACUGGAGAGAAACCUUAUAUAUGUGAAGUGUGUAAUAAGUCAUUUAAGGAAAAGAGUGAUUUAAAAAGGCAUAUGUGUGUUCACACAGGAGAAAAACAUCAUGUAUGCAAGGUAUGUAAAAGGUCAUUUAAUCAAAAAAUUAUGCUAAACAAUCACAUGCUCAUUCACACAGGAGAGAAACCGCAUGCGUGCAAAGUGUGUAAUAAAUCAUUUAGACAUAAGAACACAUUAAAUGGUCAUAUGGUUAUCCACACAGGAGAGAAAGCUCAUGUGUGUCUAGUAUGUAACAAAUUAUUUAGAGAAAAGGGACAUUUAAAUGAGCAUGUGCUUGUUCACUUACAAGAGAAACCUCAUGUGUGUGAGGUAUGCUACAAGUCAUUUAGACAAAAGAAUCAUUUAAAGUAUCAUCUCCUUAUUCAUAGUGGAGAGAAACCUUAUGUAUGUGAGAUAUGCAACAAAUCAUUUAGACAAAAGGGUACAUUAAACAGUCAUAUGUUUAUUCACACAGGAGGGAAACCUCUUGUGUGAUGUAUGUAGCAAGUCAUAUAGACAAAAAGCUUGAUUUAAACCAGCAUAUGCUUCUUCAUACAGGAGAGUAACCUCAUGGCAGCGUGAGGUAUGUAACAAGUCAUUUAGACCAAAAAAUUAUUUAAUGAAUCAGCCUUAUUCACAGUGGAGAGAAACCUUACUUAUGUGAGGUACGUAACAAGUCAUUUAGACAAAAGUGUUAUUCAAGUGUACAUAAGCUUAUUCACAUAAACAAAUAACCACAUACGUUUAAGGUAUCACCUUUAAACUAAAGUAUAAUUUUAAAAAAAGAAAAUGUGCUUAUCCAUAAAAGAAACAAAACUCAAUGACUUGUAUAUAUAAUAAUUCAUUUCGUGAGCAGAAGAAUUUAAAGAAAUGUAUGUUCAUCUACACAGAAAGGAAGUCUCAUUUCUUUUUACAAGAAGAAGUCUUGUGGAUGUGUAUUCCCUUAUGCAUAAGUAGCAGUUAACUGUGGAUGUCUGUAACUGCAUUCGAGAGAAACGUCAUGUAUGUGCUAUAUACAGUACAAAGUCCGAAAUCUGGACUCGUCAGGACUUCGGUGAUUCCAGAUUUGAGAUUUUUCCGGAUAAUAGAUCAUCAGUUAAAAUCUAAUAAGAUGGCAUGCAAAAAUUAUAAAAUUU
This 2205-nucleotide unclassified non-coding RNA is filed under the name Stegodyphus dumicola. RNAcentral describes it as "endothelial zinc finger protein induced by tumor necrosis factor alpha-like, transcript variant X2". Lineage: Eukaryota; Metazoa; Arthropoda; Arachnida; Araneae; Eresidae. The record is from RNAcentral.